UUAUGGUCCUUNCCGAAGUCAUUACUCCAACCUUUCGGGGAGGAGGAUGCCUAAGGCAGGACUGGUGACUGGGGUGAAGUCGUAACAAGGUAGCCGUGCCGGAAGGUGUGGCUGGAUCACCUCCUUUUUAGGGAGACCUACACCCCUCAGAGAUUGAAAAAACACACAGUUAUAUAGAUACUGAGAUGGUCUAACCUAGGUUCGGUCGCAGACAUUUGUUUAAAGCUUUCAAACUAUGAUUUGGUUCGAUAUGGGCUAUUAGCUCAGGUGGUUAGAGCGCACCCCUGAUAAGGGUGAGGUCCCUGGUUCGAGUCCAGGAUGGCCCACCUGAAAAUAAUUAGUAAUUCCUAGUUCGUAAUGCCUAGUUAACUGCGAAUUAAGAAUUGCGAAUUACAAAUUAUAAUUUGGGGGUUUAGCUCACUUGGUAGAGCGCCUGCUUUGCAAGCAGGAUGUCAGCGGUUCGAGUCCCCUAACCUCCACCUGUGUCGAUUGCCAAAAAAACAGCAAGAGAAAUCAGCAACAUGACGCUUGUGUCAGACUGCUGAGAUUAGACUCAGCCAGAACCUUGAAAACUGCAUAGUAACGCGAAAUUAGCAGGCAGACACAGACAANCUUUUAGAGAUGUUGUUGUGAAUGCAAUUGUUUAACACCNAAUGUAUGAGGAUCAAGNUGGAAUA
This 677-nucleotide unclassified non-coding RNA is filed under the name Nostoc sp. 'Peltigera britannica cyanobiont'. RNAcentral's name for it is "partial contains 16S ribosomal RNA, 16S-23S ribosomal RNA intergenic spacer, tRNA-Ile, tRNA-Ala and 23S ribosomal RNA". The stretch from base 1 to 127 matches the Rfam family "Bacterial small subunit ribosomal RNA", at positions 1409 to 1533 of the family's 1533-position model. The record is from RNAcentral. Lineage: Bacteria; Bacillati; Cyanobacteriota; Cyanophyceae; Nostocales; Nostocaceae.